UGGGGAAUUUUGGACAAUGGGGGAAACCCUGAUCCAGCCAUCCCGCGUGUGCGAUGAAGGCCUUCGGGUUGUAAAACACUUUUGGCAGGAAAGAAACGUCGUGGGUUAAUACCCCGCGAAACUGACGGUACCUGCAGAAUAAGCACCGGCUAACUACGUGCCAGCAGCCGCGGUAAUACGUAGGGUGCAAGCGUUAAUCGGAAUUACUGGGCGUAAAGCGUGCGCAGGCGGUUCGGAAAGAAAGAUGUGAAAUCCCAGAGCUUAACUUUGGAACUGCAUUUUUAACUACCGGGCUAGAGUGUGUCAGAGGGAGGUGGAAUUCCGCGUGUAGCAGUGAAAUGCGUAGAUAUGCGGAGGAACACCGAUGGCGAAGGCAGCCUCCUGGGAUAACACUGACGCUCAUGCACGAAAGCGUGGGGAGCAAACAGGAUUAGAUACCCUGGUAGUCCACGCCCUAAACGAUGUCAACUAGCUGUUGGGGUCUUCGGACCUUGGUAGCGCAGCUAACGCGUGAAGUUGACCGCCUGGGGAGUACGGUCGCAAGAUUAAAACUCAAAUGAAUUGACGGGG
RNAcentral lists this ribosomal RNA (570 nucleotides) under uncultured bacterium. RNAcentral's name for it is "partial 16S ribosomal RNA". It matches the Rfam family "Bacterial small subunit ribosomal RNA", at positions 355 to 918 of the family's 1533-position model. The record is from RNAcentral.